GUAUCAGAGGGGCUGUGCACCUCCUGUAAUGCAGCCGCCGAUCGGCGCAGGUCACAAGCCCUGAUAAAUGCAGAGUGCAGA
This 81-nucleotide non-coding RNA is filed under the name unclassified sequences. The record is from RNAcentral.